Molecule: ribosomal RNA, 440 nt
Filed under: uncultured bacterium
Lineage: Bacteria
Description: partial 16S ribosomal RNA
Rfam family: Bacterial small subunit ribosomal RNA
Source: RNAcentral
CCUACGGGGGGCAGCAGUGGGGGAUAUUGCACAAUGGGGGGAACCCUGAUGCAGCGACGCCGCGUGGGUGAAGAAGCGCCUCGGCGCGUAAAGCCCUGUCAGCAGGGAAGAAAAUGACGGUACCUGAAGAAGAAGCCCCGGCUAACUACGUGCCAGCAGCCGCGGUAAUACGUAGGGGGCAAGCGUUACCGGGAUUAACUGGGUGAAAAGGGGGAGCAGGGGGCGAGGCAAGCACGGAGUGAAAGCCGGGGGCCCAACCCCGGGACUGCUCUUGGAACUGCUUGGCUGGAGUGCAGGAGGGGCAUGCGGAAUUCCUGGUGUAGCGGUGAAAUGCGUAGAUAUCAGGAGGAACACCGGUGGCGAAGGCGGCCUGCUGGACUGCAACUGACGUUGAGGCCCGAAAGCGUGGGGAGCAAACAGGAUUAGAUACCCCAGUAGUC